Callithrix jacchus (white-tufted-ear marmoset) is the source of this 2626-nucleotide long non-coding RNA. The record is from Ensembl. NCBI's taxonomy places the organism in Eukaryota, Metazoa, Chordata, Mammalia, Primates, Cebidae.
ACACAGGGAAGGGAGUACUACACACUGGGGUCUAUUGUGGGGAAUAGGGGAGGGACAGCAGUGGGGGAGCUGGGGAGGGAUAGCCUGGGGAGAAAUGCCAAAUGUGGGUGAAGGGGAGGAAGGCAGCAGAAUACACUGCCAUGUGUGUACCUAUGCAACUAUCUUGCAUGUUCUGCAUAUGUACCCCAAAACCUAAAAUGCAAUUAAAAAAAAAAGAAAGAAAUCAUUCGUGCACGGUGCAGCAAAAUCGGGGAAAAAAUACAGUGAGAUUUUCAUACUCAAUUAUCAUAUGUAUUGUAAAUUAUACUUAUUUAUUCUAAGAUUAUAUCCUCACCUUUAUUACCAUAAAUACUCCUCUCUUUUAAUAGAUAAUUUUUCCCUUUUGUUACCCUUACUUGGUAAAAUACGAAGUUAGUCAUUCUGUAUUACUCUGUCACUUUAAAAAUUUUACUCAUCCUGGAAAUCCAAAAGUCUGGGAAUCACCACAACAAACUGGUGAAACCCUUCCUCUUCCCAGUCUGCCUUAACCUUAUCAUCAGAGGCUGCCUUUCCUCCAUCAAUAUGGAACCAAUCACCUCAAACACAUCCAGAGUUCUUAAAGUGCAAGCCCAAAACAACAAGGUUUCCCCUCAAAAAUAUAGGCGGUUCCCUUUGACUCUAACAUCAAUAUAUCAAGUUCAAACUUUUAUUCUGAGGACUGUCUUUUUAAUCCAGCUUUGAGAGUAUACUGGUUUCUGGUAGGUGCUAAGGUGAUAUCUACCAAAAUUAGACAAAAAUGACACAGUGACUCUCUACUGCUUUGUACUGCUAUCCUUGUAGGCAAGCCAAAGUCCCCUUUCUAGAAGAAUAUACAUUCAUGUACAUUCAAUAAUAGUAUUGUAAUUACCAGAUGGAGCUUUGCAAUGCUGCCAAACGUAUGGCCCACAGACUUAAUUGUAGAAUAAAUCCCUUGAUAGAAUCCAGCUAUUUAGUCAUUUUGGUUUAUGAUUAUAAACUUAUAAUUAAUUGUAUUCAAUACCAAAUGAACAACCCAACCAAGCUAGUUGAUCUACUAUUUAAUAACUCAAUAGGUUAUUUGUAUAUAGUUCUUGAUCACAUAUAAAAAUGAAAGUUAAGUGACACAUUGUUUACCCCUGAAAAUAUAAAAAAAGAAUUUGUGUUUUGAGGGUCAGUUCCUGCCCAGAGGAGACCCCUGAUGAGUAACCGUGGGACCACAAACCAUUCUCUAAGGAUUAGCACUUUGGGAGCCCUAUACAGUGGGUGAAUGAGUCAUGCCUGUAGACCAGAAUAUGGCCUUGCUAAAUUAUUUCUGGGUUUAUUUUCUUUUUUUAUUUCUGAGCUUUUAGGUAAGUUUGUUUACAUGUUCCCACUGUGCUGAGAGAAUUUAAAGAAGAGCCUUAAGUCUACAUCUGAAUUAAGAGUACUGAGAAAUGGCCGGGCCCGGUGGCUCAUGCCUGUAAUCCUAGCACUUUGGGAGGCCGAGGCAGGUGGAUCACAAGGUCAAGACAUCCAGGCCAACAUGGUGAAACCCCAUCUCUACUAAAAAACACAAAAGCUACCUGGGCGUGGCAGUGCCCGCCUGUAGUCCCAGCUACUCGAGAAGCUGAGGCAGAAGAAUUCCUUGAACCCCGGAGGCGAAGGUUGCAGUGAGCCGAGAUCGCACCACUGCACUCUAGCCUGGAGCCUGGCAACAGAGCAAGACUCUGUCUCCAAAAAAAAAAAAAAAAAAGAUAACUGAGAAAUAAUAAGUCCACCAUAUUUGAAUUAGAACUUAGAGAAGAGAAGGAACAGGGGCUUCUGUGUGGCAUAUGGUUAUUGGGAGGUCUCCCAAGGAAAUAAAUGUGCAUUUUGGGAACGGAAAGUUUACAGGCACAUCCACCUCUCUCCCAUUUGGAGAUUCUUUGCAUUGGCCAAUUUUAGAGAUUUGGAGUUUUAUUUUAUUAGAGAUAUCACAAGACGCUGUUAGAUGGUCAAUAAAGAUAAGGUCAGAAAACUGAUCUUUGAAAUUGGUACCAUGAAGGUUGUUGAUGGUUUUACGAAAGCAAUUUUUCUGAAAUGGCAGGAAUAGAAGCCAUUCUAGAAGUUAAAGAGUGAAUUCAGUAAGAAUGCAAAAGUAGUAUUUGCAACCCACUCUUGGGAAGCUGGGCUAUGAAAAGGUAAGGACAAUGGGGUAAUAGCAGGAGUUUCAGAGUCUAGGAAGUGUAAAGAUAAGAGAUAAUAAAGCAUCUAUGUAUUAUGGGAAAGAUAAUUUAGGAAGAUAAAAAUUGGCGAUGCAGGGGACAGUGAGAAUGAGCAACUGAGCAAAGACUAAGAAAGUAAGAAAAGUGAUAAGGGAUGAGAUCUGGAGUAUGUGUGCAGGUACAACAUUUGAAAGGGGAAGGGAUAUUUCCUUCAUUUUAAUAGUAAGAACUGGAUCACCAAUUUUGAUGAUGAAGAAAGUAACAAAGUUUCUGCCUUAUAGUUUCUAUGUUCAUAAUAACACUAGGUUAUUAGCUAAAAUGAGAGGAAAAGAAAUGAGAGUAAAACAAAUCUUAAAAUACUGAUUUUUAAAAUGUAAAAUUAUAGAGUCAUAUCCAGAUGCCAUUUGAGGUUUGAUGGUUUGGUUGAUUCCUCGGCUAUGAGGAAU